Molecule: ribosomal RNA, 390 nt
Filed under: Vibrio parahaemolyticus
Lineage: Bacteria; Pseudomonadati; Pseudomonadota; Gammaproteobacteria; Vibrionales; Vibrionaceae
Description: partial 23S ribosomal RNA
Rfam family: Bacterial large subunit ribosomal RNA
Source: RNAcentral
UGGUGGGUAGUUUGACUGGGGCGGUCUCCUCCCAAAGAGUAACGGAGGAGCACGAAGGUGGGCUAAUCACGGUUGGACAUCGUGAGGUUAGUGCAAUGGCAUAAGCCCGCUUGACUGCGAGAAUGACAAUUCGAGCAGGUGCGAAAGCAGGUCAUAGUGAUCCGGUGGUUCUGAAUGGAAGGGCCAUCGCUCAACGGAUAAAAGGUACUCCGGGGAUAACAGGCUGAUACCGCCCAAGAGUUCAUAUCGACGGCGGUGUUUGGCACCUCGAUGUCGGCUCAUCACAUCCUGGGGCUGAAGUCGGUCCCAAGGGUAUGGCUGUUCGCCAUUUAAAGUGGUACGCGAGCUGGGUUUAGAACGUCGUGAGACAGUUCGGUCCCUAUCUGCCGU